GAAAAUUGGUGGAUUUCAAGUAAUCAAGCCAUCAAAGGUGGUGAAUCCUCCGAAAAAGGCCAAAGAAAUUGCACCCGAUGAUCAAUAGUCGGAGUACUCCAAAAUUUAAACUCCUGAUACUGCUCAGGAUAGUCGGUAGAUAGCUCAUUUCGUUGAGGGCU
RNAcentral lists this small RNA (161 nucleotides) under Theobroma cacao (cacao). RNAcentral's name for it is "sRNA Tc05v2_g009010". The record is from RNAcentral. Lineage: Eukaryota; Viridiplantae; Streptophyta; Magnoliopsida; Malvales; Malvaceae.